GAUGAACGCUGGCGGCGUGCUUAACACAUGCAAGUCGAACGGAAAGGCCCAAGCUUGCUUGGGUACUCGAGUGGCGAACGGGUGAGUAACACGUGGGUGAUCUGCCCUGCACUUCGGGAUAAGCCUGGGAAACUGGGUCUAAUACCGGAUAGGACCACAUUUUGGAUGGUGUGGUGGAAAGUUUUUCGGUGUGGGAUGAGCUCGCGGCCUAUCAGCUUGUUGGUGGGGUAAUGGCCUACCAAGGCGUCGCCGGGUAGCCGGCCGGGGAGGGUGUACGGCCACAUUGGGACUGGGAUACGGCCCAGACUCCUACGGGAGGCAGCAGUGGGGAAUAUUGCACAAUGGGCGCAAGCCUGAUGCAGCGACGCCGCGUGGGGGAUGACGGCCUUCGGGUUGUAAACUCCUUUCGCUAGGGACGAAGCGUUAUGUGACGGUACCUGGAGAAGAAGCACCGGCUAACUACGUG
Molecule: ribosomal RNA, 466 nt
Filed under: uncultured bacterium
Lineage: Bacteria
Description: partial 16S ribosomal RNA
Rfam family: Bacterial small subunit ribosomal RNA
Source: RNAcentral